Molecule: long non-coding RNA, 434 nt
Organism: Raphanus sativus (radish)
Lineage: Eukaryota; Viridiplantae; Streptophyta; Magnoliopsida; Brassicales; Brassicaceae
Exons: 2
Source: RefSeq, a predicted model, not a curated record
AUUUAUGGCAUUGAUAAUGGGAGGAAGUGAUUGUUUUUACUCAGAAAUUGGCGGAGACGCUUGUGGAUUCCUUCUUUCACGUUCCUUCUCUCUUCCACUAAUCAUUGUCAACAUCCUAGUCCAUGAAACAAAGAGGACGAAAUAGCUACCGAAGGUAGCACAGCCGUCGUUCAGCGUGAGCCCUCUCAAGACGGCAGUGUUGCCCCUAAAGCUGAUAGUGAAAAGAAGUUGUGGAUGAGAAAGUCAGUAAGGAGAUCUUAAAGGAAGGUAACAGUUCGAAACCUCCAUUAUGUUCUACAUCAUCAUUGUUAGAUUGCUGAAUCAGCUUGACUUUCCUGGGUACCUAAUACAAAGCAUAUUUGGGAGAAAACAAAUCGUGUUGUCUUUAUUUUUGCUUUAGAGCCAUGAUAAUGUUUAGUAUCCAGUUUCUUAAA